CGUGCGCAUGCCCAGCUGACGUGGACCAAGGCGCGGGGAGACGCAGCCUUCCUGUUUUAGCUCUUGUUCUGUAAAUGAGUGUUCUUUCCGUGGUUUUUUGGGGUGACGUGUUCAGCAUUUUGGGGCUGUUUGAUGAUUCGCUGAUUGGUAUGGACCCGAAGGGCAGUACUGAAGUGCCAACUGGUGUUCCCGAGUGUGAGAACGCUGUGAUGCGCCCGCAGAGGAAAGUCCUGUGUAGAUCUCAGCUGAAAUGCCAGCUCCUGAUAGAAAGCAUUCCCACUCAAUGCCUUCCUUCAAAAGGACUUUAUUUUAGUACAAUCUGUGCUACAGCUGCAGGAGAUCGGAUCUCUUUAAAUGCUGCCGUGGAGGUCUUUUGGCUUUCAUAGUGUAUCUGGAGUUAAUUGCUGGCUGAAGCUGAACAUUAAACAUUGUCGUCUUUUGUUGUUCUUAUUUUUAAAAAGCGGUUAAAAAAGAGAACUGGCCCCACAGUCGUUUUAGCUGCUGUUGGCACCCGUGUUUUUCAAGUGGGAGAACUAGCACAUGCCUCUCCUUUUCCUUGGACCUCGUCGUAAAGUGCCUCUGAUGAGAGUGCUGGAAGAGACAAAGGAUGGAACAGUCUCCGCGGCUGCAAAUGCCAUCUGGGAUAGAAUAAGAAGAUGUAGUUAUCAUAAAAGAAGACCAUGUGCAAAUUAAGCAACAUUCAGAACAUUCAUUAAUUCGUCUUUGUUUAGUGUAUAAGAUCAUAUGAUUAAAAUCUGGAGCUUUUACUAGUCAAUCUAGUUUUAAUUUUUGUGUUAUAUUUUAUGUGUGAAUAUUAGAGAACAAUGCCAUAUAUGACUAAAGUAGUUAAAAUAGUUUUUUUCCUACCAACCUAACAGUUUCCUUCAGAAAUGUAUUUAUGAGUCUUAGUGACUCAUAAUAGGAUUUAUGAGUCACUAAGGACUUUAGUGAGUAUUUCAAAUAGUUGGCGACCUUAAUCAAAGUUAGAACAUGAAUACGGUUAAGGUUAACAAAGAUCACCUGAAAGCACAAACAUUUACAGUUUUGUUUUUAUUGAAAUAAAUUAAAUUUGAAUAAUCGAUUUGCUUUGGUUUCCUAUGUAUUUACAACAGCAAUGUAAUUCUGAAUCCGAGAAUCUCUUAUUUGAAGAGAUUUGUUAUUAUUAUUUUUCAAAUUUUAAAUAAAUUGUUUCCAUUAAUAUCCUGAAAUAGCUUUGUUUUGUUCCAAAAUUGGCUUUUUUUAUAUAGUUUGCUUAAACUUUAAUUUUUCUGAAUAUUUUGUCCAAUAUAGCAGCACACAAAUUAUCACAAAAUAACAUGAAGAUUCUAGUACAGCUAGAGAAGAUUGUGCGCCUUAUUUAUUAUUAAGCACUGAAAUUGAUGUUAAACUGAAGAUAGAAAUGUGUUAUGCAAAUGGAGGAUUUGAUCAGGGAAUUUGAAUAAAUAAAAAGCAAAAACAACUGAUCUUACUUAUUGAUAACAAGUAUAAAAAAAGUUUAAAUAUAUACUUUUUUAAAUAGGAAUUCU
This 1526-nucleotide long non-coding RNA is filed under the name Equus caballus (horse). Its description in RNAcentral is "lncRNA (ENSECAG00000046669.1)". The record is from RNAcentral. Lineage: Eukaryota; Metazoa; Chordata; Mammalia; Perissodactyla; Equidae.